RNAcentral lists this ribosomal RNA (832 nucleotides) under uncultured crenarchaeote. Its description in RNAcentral is "bacterial SSU rRNA". It matches the Rfam family "Archaeal small subunit ribosomal RNA", at positions 49 to 859 of the family's 1478-position model. Lineage: Archaea; Thermoproteati; Thermoproteota. The record is from RNAcentral.
ACAUGCGAGUCGAGCGUUUCUAGCUAUGUUGAGACGCGGCAUACGGCUCAGUAACACGUGGCUAACCUACCCUCAGGACGGGGACAAACCCGGGAAACUGGGGCUAAUAUCCGAUAGGCGAGGAAUCCUGGAAUGGUUCUUCACCCAAAAGACAUUGGAAACAUACUUUCUCUGUCGCCUGGGGAUGGGGCCGCGACCGAUCAGGUUGUUGGUGAGGUAAUGGCUCACCAAGCCUUUAACCGGUACGGGCCAUGAGAGUGGUAGCCCGGAGAUGGGUACUGAGACAAGGACCCAGGCCCUACGGGGCGCAGCAGUCGCGAAAACUCCGCAAUGCACGAAAGUGUGACGGGGCUACCCCGAGUGCCGUCCGCUGAGGAUGGCUUUUCCUUGGUGUAACUAGCCGGGGGAAUAAGGAGAGGGCAAGACUGGUGUCAGCCGCCGCGGUAAUACCAGCUCUCCGAGUGGUAGGGAUGAUUAUUGGGCUUAAAGCGUCCGUAGCCGGCUUAGCAAGUUUCCUGUUAAAUUCAGCGACCUAAUCGUUGAGCCGCGGGAAAUACUACUAGGCUAGGAGGCGGGAGAGGUCGACGGUACUUCUGGGGUAGGGGUGAAAUCCUAUAAUCCCGGGAGGACCACCAGUGGCGAAGGCUGUCGACUAGAACGCGCUCGACGGUGAGGGACGAAAGCUGGGGGAGCGAACCGGAUUAGAUACCCGGGUAGUCCCAGCUGUAAACGAUGCGGGCUAGGUGUUGGGGUGGCUACGUGCCACUUCAGUGCCGCAGGGAAGCCAUUAAGCCCGCCGCCUGGGGAGUACGGCCGCAAGGCUGAAACUUAA